UGGAUUAGUGGCGAACGGGUGAGUAACACGUGAGCAAUCUGCCCCUGACUCCGGAAUAACUACGGGAAACUGUAGCUAAUACCGGAUAUGCGCCGAACAGGCAUCUGUAUCGGUGGGAAAGAAUUUCGGUCAGGGAUGAGCUCGCGGCCUAUCAGCUUGUUGGUGAGGUAACGGCUCACCAAGGCGACGACGGGUAGCCGGCCUGAGAGGGUGACCGGCCACAUUGGGACUGAGACACGGCCCAGACUCC
RNAcentral lists this ribosomal RNA (250 nucleotides) under uncultured Actinomycetales bacterium. RNAcentral describes it as "partial 16S ribosomal RNA". It matches the Rfam family "Bacterial small subunit ribosomal RNA", at positions 88 to 339 of the family's 1533-position model. Lineage: Bacteria; Bacillati; Actinomycetota; Actinomycetes; Actinomycetales. The record is from RNAcentral.